UUAGAACAAUAUUAUGUCAAUUAUUAUGUCCGUGUCGAAGUGGAUAGAAGCCAGCUAGAUGAAUAAAAAUAGAAAUGAUUAAAAAUAAUAGCACCCGAAGUCUACUAUAUGUAAUUCGUUGCAUCUUCCAUAAGCUUCUCCGGUGAAGGGCUCCGGGACAAAGGCCCAUAUAGCCAAAGCAUCGCCUGAAAUCGCAAGUCCUCCUCCAUAAUUUCCAAGUUUUUGCUUCUAA
RNAcentral lists this long non-coding RNA (232 nucleotides) under Musa acuminata (dwarf banana). Its description in RNAcentral is "long non-coding RNA (MACU_LNC004678)". Lineage: Eukaryota; Viridiplantae; Streptophyta; Magnoliopsida; Zingiberales; Musaceae. The record is from RNAcentral.